GCGGAUGGCUGGAUGACCGCGGGGUGCAAGCCUCGAGGAAAGUCCGGACUCCAUGAAGACAGGGUGCCGGGUAAUGCCCGGCGGGGGUAACCUCAGGGAAAGCGCCACAGAGAAGAGACUGCUCUUGUCCGCAAGAGUGAUGGUGAAACGGUGGGGUAAGAGCCCACCACGGACUUGGCAACAAGGACGGUAUGGCAAGCCCCACCCGGAGCAAUGCCGAAUAGGGGCCUCACGCCGUAAGGUCCGCGCUUAGCGGAGACCACGGCAGGGAACUUCAGCCCAGAGGUCCGGGUUGGCAGCUUGACCGCUCUGGUAACAGAUGCGGCAGAGGAAUGGUCAUCCAGAGGGCGCAAGCCCUUGGACAAAAUCCGGCUUACAGGCCAUCCGCGCAU
Molecule: RNase P RNA, 392 nt
Filed under: Cypionkella sp.
Lineage: Bacteria; Pseudomonadati; Pseudomonadota; Alphaproteobacteria; Rhodobacterales; Paracoccaceae
Description: RNase P RNA component class A
Rfam family: Bacterial RNase P class A
About the family: Ribonuclease P (RNase P) is a ubiquitous endoribonuclease, found in archaea, bacteria and eukarya as well as chloroplasts and mitochondria.
Source: RNAcentral